This 434-nucleotide ribosomal RNA is filed under the name uncultured Lachnospiraceae bacterium. RNAcentral describes it as "partial 16S ribosomal RNA". It matches the Rfam family "Bacterial small subunit ribosomal RNA", at positions 341 to 792 of the family's 1533-position model. Lineage: Bacteria; Bacillati; Bacillota; Clostridia; Lachnospirales; Lachnospiraceae. The record is from RNAcentral.
ACGGAAGGCAGCAGUGGGGGAUAUUGCACAAUGGGGGAAACCCUGAUGCAGCGACGCCGCGUGAGUGAAGAAGUAUUUCGGUAUGUAAAGCUCUAUCAGCAAGGAAGAAAAUGACGGUACUUGACUAAGAAGCUCCGGCUAAAUACGUGCCAGCAGCCGCGGUAAUACGUAUGGAGCAAGCGUUAUCCGGAUUUACUGGGUGUAAAGGGAGCGUAGACGGCAAAGCAAGUCUGAAGUGAAAUCCCGGGGCUCAACCCCGGAACUGCUUUGGAAACUGUUUAGCUAGAGUGCAGGAGAGGUAAGCGGAAUUCCUAGUGUAGCGGUGAAAUGCGUAGAUAUCAGGAGGAACACCGGUGGCGAAGGCGGCUUACUGGACGGCAACUGACGUUGAGGCUCGAAGGCGUGGGGGGCAAACAGGAUUAGAUACCCUGGUA